Molecule: ribosomal RNA, 897 nt
Filed under: Triticum aestivum (bread wheat)
Lineage: Eukaryota; Viridiplantae; Streptophyta; Magnoliopsida; Poales; Poaceae
Description: partial small subunit ribosomal RNA
Source: RNAcentral
AUGGAGUCGGCGGCUGGGGCGGAGACGCCGAACCUGUCGGCACCGGCGACGCCGGGGACGCCGGCACCGCUGUUCGCGGGGGCGCGGGUGGACUCGCUGUCGUACGAGCGCAAGUCGAUGCCGCGGUGCAGGUGCCUGCCGGUGGAUGCGUGGAUGUCGUCCAACGCCUGCGUCGUGGAGAUCCCCGCGCCGGACGUCUCGCUCCCCCGCAAGCUCGGCGCGGAGUUCGUCGGGACGUUCAUCCUCAUCUUCUUCGCGACGGCGGCGCCGAUCGUGAACCAGAAGUACGGCGGCGUGAUCUCGCCGUUCGGGAACGCGGCGUGCGCGGGCCUGGCUGUGACGACCAUCAUCCUGUCGACGGGCCACAUCUCGGGCGCGCACCUGAACCCGUCCCUGACCAUCGCCUUCGCAGCGUUCCGCCACUUCCCCUGGCUCCAGGUCCCGGCCUACGUGACGGCCCAGGUGCUGGGCUCCAUCUCCGCCGGGUUCGCGCUCAAGGGCGUCUUCCACCCGUUCCUCUCCGGCGGGGUCACCGUCCCCGACGUCACCAUCUCCACCGCCCAGGCCCUCUUCACCGAGUUCAUCAUCACCUUCAACCUCCUCUUCGUCGUCACCGCCGUCGCCACCGACACCCGCGCAGUGGGCGAGCUCGCCGGGAUCGCGGUGGGAGCCGCCGUGACGCUCAACAUCCUCGUGGCCGGGCCGACGACGGGAGGGUCGAUGAACCCGGUGAGGACGCUGGGGCCGGCGGUGGCCGCGGGGAACUACAGGCAGCUGUGGAUAUACCUGGUGGCGCCGACGCUGGGCGCGGUGUGCGGCGCCGGCGUGUACAAGCUGGUGAAGCUCAGGGACGUGAACGGCGAGACUCCGCGCCCGCAGCGCAGCUUCCGACGCUGA